AAAAAACAACAACAACAGCAUUGGCCUCUUAGGACUGUCGGCCCACCGGGAAAAUACCUGGUACGCCAGAUUACCAGUCCAGCCCUGGGUAGGUAUAACAACAUUAAUGUGCUGCUCUGUGGGUUAAAAAAAAGUAAUAACGUUUUAUAACCUCAAAACCUCUUCUGCACUUUUAUAGUCUUACCUACAGUUACAGUUACUUACUUACAUGUAGUUCUGGUAGUGACAGUGACUGAACUAGGCUUGUGUUAUUGUGUAUUAGUAUUGAUUUUUUUAGUCAGGUCUAUUGUCUGUUACUAUUUAUAAGGAAUGAUCUAUGAGACUGAAGCUGAUGCCAGCAGUCCUGGAUUGUAAAGACUGAUGUGGAAAGUUUUGUGUUAAAUUUAAGGGAUUCUAAAAUCUUAAAUCCUUUCUUACACAAGGCUGUUUUGCGACAAUCACAAGAAGACAUUGAGAACAUCAUGAUCAAAAUGAAGCGCUUCAUAACAAGCAGACAAGAACAACCUGAAAACACCAUGGUAAGAUUUGAUUAACUGCUGUAACUGUUCACUGCAAACAGUCCACCUUAAAUUAACUUUAAAUGCCUUGUACUUUUUCCAAAGCCUGCAAAACACUUCGAUUUGGCCAUCCAAGAGUUUCAAAUGGCGAUCCAUCAAAAGAAGAAUGGAUGCUACAACACUGAUGAGGAUGUGAUCAGGAAGACUGAACCCUUCAGCUCACCAGUGGAUCUACAUAGCAAACAGCCUCCUCUAGAGAACUUAGAUCCUCCAGAAGGAUCACAGGUAAGUUCUAUCAUCAUAUCUGUCCAUCAGUCCAUAGAUCACACGGUACCACUUUAAAAUAAGACUACCUUUAUAAAGGGUUUAUAAAUGGUUAACAAUUAGUUUAUUAAUGGUUACUAAUUAGGUUUCAAAAGAACAUCUUGACCUUGUUGUGCUAUACUGUGCUGGUUGAUAAAGUUAGACUGAUAACAGGGGUUCUUUUUCCAUCGUGCCUAUAUUUUUACUUGCUUUUCUGGUGUUUUUACUUCCACUUUACUUAAUUUUCUCAGGUAAUAAAGUUGUCAACUCUACUUUAGGCA
RNAcentral lists this long non-coding RNA (1081 nucleotides) under Astyanax mexicanus (Mexican tetra). RNAcentral's name for it is "lncRNA (ENSAMXG00005009290.1)". Lineage: Eukaryota; Metazoa; Chordata; Actinopteri; Characiformes; Acestrorhamphidae. The record is from RNAcentral.